This 234-nucleotide ribosomal RNA is filed under the name uncultured bacterium. RNAcentral describes it as "partial 16S ribosomal RNA". It matches the Rfam family "Bacterial small subunit ribosomal RNA", at positions 118 to 347 of the family's 1533-position model. The record is from RNAcentral.
UGAGGAACAUGACCUUCGGCGGGGGAUAGCCGGCCCAACGGCCGGGUAAUACCGCGUACGACCUUUUGGGGACAUCCCUGAUUGGUGAAAGCAGCAAUGCGCCGAUGGAGUGCCUCGCGGCCUAUCAGCUAGUUGGUGAGGUAACGGCUCACCAAGGCGACGACGGGUAGCUGGUCUGAGAGGAUGGCCAGCCACAUUGGGACUGAGACACGGCCCAGACUCCUACGGGAGCAG